GUGAAUCAUCGAAUUUUUGAACGCAAAUUACACUUUCUGGUAUUCCGGAAAGUAUGCCUGUUUGAGGGUCAGUUAAAUUAAAAUUGUUGUUGUUGCUAGCAGUAGUGGUGUGUGAUGCAUCGGUAUUGAGUCGUUCUUUACCUUUGGUUUAAGUGAUUUAAUAUUAUGUUCGAUGUUUGGACGUAUUUAAAUUAUUACUUAAGUUCUUAUUAUCUAUUUUUAGGUGCGGUCAUUAAAAUGAUUUCGCGUA
RNAcentral lists this unclassified non-coding RNA (250 nucleotides) under Glomeraceae sp. Its description in RNAcentral is "partial contains 5.8S ribosomal RNA and internal transcribed spacer 2". The stretch from base 1 to 71 matches the Rfam family "5.8S ribosomal RNA", at positions 84 to 154 of the family's 154-position model. Lineage: Eukaryota; Fungi; Glomeromycota; Glomeromycetes; Glomerales; Glomeraceae. The record is from RNAcentral.